GACGAACGCUGGCGGCGUGCCUAAUACAUGCAAGUCGAACGCACUCUCGUUUAGAUUGAAGGAGUUUGCUCCUGAUUGAUAAACAUUUGAGUGAGUGGCGGACGGGUGAGUAACACGUGGGUAACCUGCCCUAAAGUGGGGGAUAACAUUUGGAAACAGAUGCUAAUACCGCAUAAAACCUAACACCGCAUGGUGUAGGGUUGAAAGAUGGUUUCGGCUAUCACUUUAGGAUGGACCCGCGGUGCAUUAGUUAGUUGGUGAGGUAAAGGCUCACCAAGACCGUGAUGCAUAGCCGAACUGAGAGGGUAAUCGGCCACACUGGGACUGAGACACGGCCCAGACUCCUACGGGAGGCAGCAGUAGGGAAUCUUCCACAAUGGACGAAAGUCUGAUGGAGCAACGCCGCGUGAGUGAAGAAGGUUUUCGGAUCGUAAAACUCUGUUGUUGGAGAAGAAUGUAUCUGAUAGUAACUGAUCAGGUAGUGACGGUAUCCAACCAGAAAGCCACGGCUAACUACGUG
RNAcentral lists this ribosomal RNA (520 nucleotides) under uncultured bacterium. RNAcentral's name for it is "partial 16S ribosomal RNA". It matches the Rfam family "Bacterial small subunit ribosomal RNA", at positions 28 to 507 of the family's 1533-position model. The record is from RNAcentral.